Tachysurus fulvidraco (yellow catfish) is the source of this 1760-nucleotide long non-coding RNA. RefSeq lists it as uncharacterized. NCBI's taxonomy places the organism in Eukaryota, Metazoa, Chordata, Actinopteri, Siluriformes, Bagridae. The transcript is spliced from 2 exons. The record is from RefSeq and is a predicted model, not a curated record.
UCUGGGAGAAAGAGGAUCACUCAGCCGUCUUCAUGUAAAUCUCACUUCCUCUACACUGCUCUCUGAUUUCCUGCUUAAAACUGACUCUGUGUGUUUAUCUGGGUGUGGAACAGGAAGCUGGUUUCAUGUCUUUCUUUAGAGCAGGAUUUAUGGUUGAAGGAACUGACACUACAGACUUAUUUAAGUCACAGACAAAUGCCUUGCUUGUCUAUUUUAUCAAUGCCAGGCCAUUAACAAGUAGAUGUAACAAUUGUAACAUCUACAAUGUAACACAAUAUAAUAUUGGCAAUAUAAUAUAAUAAUAUAUAAUAAUAUUGGCAAUAAUACUGAAGGUCACGUAUAUUUAUAUGUGGGUCGCCACAGAGCACAUGUGAUGUGUCUUUACAUUGUCACAAUACACACUAUGCACAUGACACAAUGUACAGAAAUACAAACAUUUCUAGGUAGAAAUGAAAAAGGUGCAUAUGUGGGCAUCUACACAGUAUAUGAACCAGAGGUGUGUGACGUAUGAACGAGGUACGAGUGGUGAUUGACGCUCAUGACCACCAAUCAGUGUCGAGCAGGCACUAUUUAGAGCGGGUUGGUUUUGAGCCUGGGAUGCGUCACGUCCGUAUCUUCCCCUUUUUCAGUUACUCUAGCGAUUUCAGCCUGUCUUUUCAUCACUGUGUGUGUCCCUGUCGGAUGCAGUUCGGAUCUGUCUACUGCCCACCUUUCAGGUAUGAAGAAGUUGCAUUAUAAAUCAUGUCUAGCUUCAAUGAGAGUCGGGUGGCGUGAGUCAUGUGCAGUCCUUGUACUUCGGUUUCACGGCGGGUUAUUUGAGGGCUGCGUAUCCUGAGCGGCGAACUGAUCCUCGUGAACUCCUUUAUUCGCACUUGGUAAGUUUUGUUCGGUUUUGCUAAGGGGAAUUUCAACGUGUAAUUGUGCUUAAUACUUAAAACAGCUUAAUUCUGUUUUUGUACUAUUUGUAAUAGGAUUCUCCUUCUCUUUUCCUCCUGGCCAUUAUCACUGCAGUUUACUUUUUCCUCCACUGCGCGCCGAGUGACUAACAUUGGCAUACAAUCAUUUAAAGGGACUUUUGCUGCUACCAUCUGGUUUCUGGGAUAGUUUUAACAGACCUGAUCUAGUCUACUUUGGGGUGGACGAUCGGAUAUUUCUUUGGGUCGGCCUAAGAACAACGUGGCCGCUCCUUUUGAGUCCUGUCUCCCUCAAACUUUUUAUAAAGUUUUCGGCUGCGUUGAAUCGUGACUUCUAUUUGCUUUUCAUUCAUUCUGUUUCAUAUGUUCUUAUUUUGGUUUUGAAUUCUUUCAGGAGCUGGGGGUUCCAUUGGUGAAAGACAUUUUGGUGGUGGUGCUAUUCCAACGUGUGCUGUGCGAAAUUCUUGAAGUGUACGAGUGCGUGCUCUGAGUUCACGGUGAGGUGUGUGUGUGUGUGUGUGUGUGUGUGUGUGGAAGUGUGCGGUUGGAUAACUAACCCUGGUGAUCGCCUCGGUGGAUAACCCCAGCCCUGUAUUUAAUUGUUAUAUUUUGUUUUGUCUGUUUAGAAGUUGCGUAAAGUGGUUGUUUAUUAUUUCUUUCAUUUGAUCGUCGUUAUUUGUGUAUUUGUCUGUCACUGCACCAUUUUAACAGUGAAGACAUCUUUUCUUUUUGUUGUUUUUGCAAUGUUAGUUUGAGCUGUUAGUAAGGGCUCUUUAGGAUUGAGCAUAUUAAGUGAGUUUUUAUUUUAAUUGCAAGUAUUUAAUAAACGUUGUACUUUAUAUGAUG